Molecule: microRNA precursor, 86 nt
Filed under: Pelodiscus sinensis (Chinese soft-shelled turtle)
Lineage: Eukaryota; Metazoa; Chordata; Testudines; Trionychidae
Description: miRNA (ENSPSIG00000020050.1)
Rfam family: tRNA (bases 1-58)
About the family: Transfer RNA (tRNA) molecules are approximately 80 nucleotides in length. Their secondary structure includes four short double-helical elements and three loops (D, anti-codon, and T loops).
Source: RNAcentral
UGGCUAAAGCACCUGUCUCGUGAACAGGAGAUCCUGGGUUCAACUCCCAGUGGUGCCUUGCGGUGGCCUUUGCUCGCAUUUUCCUA